RNAcentral lists this ribosomal RNA (285 nucleotides) under Nitrososphaerota archaeon. RNAcentral describes it as "partial 16S ribosomal RNA". It matches the Rfam family "Archaeal small subunit ribosomal RNA", at positions 1 to 262 of the family's 1478-position model. Lineage: Archaea; Thermoproteati; Nitrososphaerota. The record is from RNAcentral.
AAUCCGGUUGAUCCUGCCGGACUCGACCGUUAUCAGAGUGAGAUUAAGCCAUGCAAGUCGUAUAUCACCAGUUGCGGUGGUAUGGCGUACGGCUCAGUAGUAUAUAGUUAACUCACCCUAAGGAUGUGGAUAAUCCCGGGAAACUGGGGCUAAUCCGCAAUUGGUAUUAAUAUCUGGAAUGAUAUAAUGCUAAAAUGAGCAUAUAGGCUCACUUUAUACGCUCGCCUUAGGACAGGACUAUACCCGAUCAGGUAGUUGGCGGGGUAAUGGCCCACCAAGCCGGUG